AACGAACGCUGGUGGCGUGGAUAAGACAUGCAAGUCGAACGGGACUUUUCGUUGUAGCAAUACGAUGGAAAGUCUAGUGGCGAACGGGUGCUUAACACGUGGGCAACCUGCCAUGAAGUGGGGGAUAGCUCGCCGAAAGGCGAAUUAAUACCGCAUGUGAUUAGAGAGGACAUCCUUUCGAAAUUAAAGUCGGGGCAACCUGACGCUUCUUGUGGGGCCCGCGGCCUAUCAGCUAGUUGGUGAGGUAACGGCUCACCAAGGCUUUGACGGGUAGCUGGUCUGAGAGGACGGCCAGCCACACUGGGACUGAGACACGGCCCAGACACCUGCGGGUGGCAGCAGUCGGGAAUUUUGACAAUGGGGGAAACCCUGAUCGAGCGACGCCGCGUGGAGGAUGAAGGUCGUCGGAUUGUAAACUCCUGUCAUUGGGGAACAAUGCACAGAUAUUAACUGUAUCUGUGUUGAUAGUACCCGAAGAGGAAGAGACGGCUAACUCUGUGCCAGCAGCCGCGGUAA
RNAcentral lists this ribosomal RNA (516 nucleotides) under uncultured bacterium. RNAcentral describes it as "partial 16S ribosomal RNA". It matches the Rfam family "Bacterial small subunit ribosomal RNA", at positions 29 to 523 of the family's 1533-position model. The record is from RNAcentral.